AACGAACGCUGGCGGCAUGCCUAACACAUGCAAGUCGAACGAGACCUUCGGGUCUUGUGGCGCCCGGGUGCGUAACGCGUGGGAACAUGCAUUUAGGUUCGGAAUAACUAAGAGAAAUUUGAGCUAAUACCGGAUGAUGUCUUCGGCCCAAUGAUUUAUUGCCUUUGGUUGGGCCCGCGUUGGAUUAGCUAGUUGGGGUGGUAAAGGACUCCCACGGCGACGAUCCAUAGCUGGUCUGUGAGGAUGGUCAGCCACUCUGGGACUGAGACACGGCCCAGACUCCUACGGGAUGCAGCAGUGGGGAAUAGUGGACAGCCGGCUGAAUCCUGAUCCAGCAAUGCCGCGUGAGUGAUGAAGGCCUUAGGGUUGAAAAGCGCUUUUACCCGAGAUGAUAAUGACAGUACCGGGAGAAUAAGCUCCGGCUAACUCCGUG
RNAcentral lists this ribosomal RNA (433 nucleotides) under uncultured bacterium. Its description in RNAcentral is "partial 16S ribosomal RNA". It matches the Rfam family "Bacterial small subunit ribosomal RNA", at positions 29 to 507 of the family's 1533-position model. The record is from RNAcentral.